RNAcentral lists this ribosomal RNA (332 nucleotides) under uncultured Eubacteriales bacterium. RNAcentral describes it as "uncultured Clostridiales bacterium partial 16S ribosomal RNA". Lineage: Bacteria; Bacillati; Bacillota; Clostridia; Eubacteriales. The record is from RNAcentral.
GGAGUCUGGGCCGUGUCUCAGUCCCAAUGUGGCCGUUCAUCCUCUCAGACCGGCUACCGAUCGUCGCCUUGGUAGGCCGUUACCCCGCCAACUGGCUAAUCGGACGCGAGCCCACCCCAAACCGGUUUGCACCUUUUACCCCUGGGCCAUGUGACCCUGUGGUCUUAUGCGGUAUUAGCACCUGUUUCCAAGUGUUAUCCCCCUGUCUGGGACAGGUUGCUCACGCGUUACUCACCCGUCCGCCACUAGAAUAUAUCCGAAUCCUGCCGAAGCUCUCAUCUAACAUAUCCCCGUUCGACUUGCAUGUGUUAAGCACGCCGCCAGCGUUCGUC